GGGGUUGUGGCUUAGCAGUCGAGCACUUGCCUUGGAUGUUAGAGGCACUGAGUUCAAUCCUCAGCACCA
This 69-nucleotide transfer RNA is filed under the name Ictidomys tridecemlineatus (thirteen-lined ground squirrel). RNAcentral describes it as "Spermophilus tridecemlineatus (thirteen-lined ground squirrel) tRNA". It matches the Rfam family "tRNA". Rfam says of the family: Transfer RNA (tRNA) molecules are approximately 80 nucleotides in length. Their secondary structure includes four short double-helical elements and three loops (D, anti-codon, and T loops). Lineage: Eukaryota; Metazoa; Chordata; Mammalia; Rodentia; Sciuridae. The record is from Rfam by way of RNAcentral.